GGGCCCAUAGCUCAGCGGUCAGAGCAGGCGGCUCAUAACCGCUUGGUCGCAGGUUCGAACCCUGCUGGGCCCA
This 73-nucleotide transfer RNA is filed under the name Lachnospiraceae bacterium. RNAcentral's name for it is "tRNA-Ile". It matches the Rfam family "tRNA". Rfam says of the family: Transfer RNA (tRNA) molecules are approximately 80 nucleotides in length. Their secondary structure includes four short double-helical elements and three loops (D, anti-codon, and T loops). Lineage: Bacteria; Bacillati; Bacillota; Clostridia; Lachnospirales; Lachnospiraceae. The record is from RNAcentral.